Molecule: long non-coding RNA, 711 nt
Organism: Echinops telfairi (small Madagascar hedgehog)
Lineage: Eukaryota; Metazoa; Chordata; Mammalia; Afrosoricida; Tenrecidae
Exons: 2
Source: RefSeq, a predicted model, not a curated record
CUCGGCUCGCUCUCGGGGUGGAAGCUAAGGAAUGCCCUUUGUUUAGACAACUUUUCCCGAGAUGUCAGUGCGCCCUCUGGGAGCGCAGUCCCCAUCUCCCUAGGGCACUGUUUUCCUCUAAGGUCAAGGUCGGGCGCUGACCCUGUCUCCGGGCGCGGAGGUAAGGCGGGAAUGGACGGCCCCUCCCGCAUCUUGUCCUGUGGUAGGGUCAGCCAGGAAGGGGCUUUACCUGCAGCUGUGGCCCAAGCCAAGGUAGCGCUCUCUCACUUUCCACCCAGAGGGAGGUGGCGGAACCUCAUCUAUUUGCAGACCUCCUUCUCCACGUGAGACAGGAAGCAAUGAGAGUCAGGACCCAGGAGAUCCGGAAAUUCCUUCCAAGGGCAAGUGCUCCUUGUCUUCAGCCGACAAGCUUCCCUUUCAAGCAGGAGAUGCUACUGUGGUCACAUCGAAGUGACAGAAUAGGAAAUGGAGCCUCUCGGUGAUCUGCCCAAGACCAGAGGGCUGGUGAAGGGCAGGCCUUCUGGCCCACGGUCCUCACAUCAACAGUGCUGUGGCCAGCAGCUUGCUGUAAACUCGGGACGUUGUGGGAGGAAACCGUGAGGUGCUCAGGGUGGAUACUCAAGAUGUGCUGCCACCUUGGCCUGGCCCUUCCUUGCUGCGUUCCCCUCUCUUAUCCAAGCUAAAUCCUAAGUAAAAGAACUGCCUAACUCA